Pogona vitticeps (central bearded dragon) is the source of this 6104-nucleotide non-coding RNA. The record is from RefSeq and is a predicted model, not a curated record. NCBI's taxonomy places the organism in Eukaryota, Metazoa, Chordata, Lepidosauria, Squamata, Agamidae.
UAAUGCUUUCUUCAAGAAAAAAACAUAAAAUAAAUAUUGAUUUAUAUGCAUUCACUACAAGUUUAAAAUUCCAUAUUUUUUACAGAAACCAUACAUUUCAGGAAUGUGUUUAACUUGUAUUUAUCAGUGUUAAGAAAUAGUCAUGUUAAUAUACUGUGGACCAGCAAAUGACAAGUGAAGUACAAGAUAACAUAAGCAUUCAUUUUGUACAUUCAACAUUAGAUUUUGGGUGUAACGCUGUAACUUCUUUCAGUAUAACACAACCCAGUCUUGUUCAUCAGGUUAGGUGACUAAAGUGACACCAGAACACUAAACCUGUAUUAAAUAAAAUAAACCACAACAAUCUUGCUCAGAAUGCUAACUUCUUUUCUACCUUUUUUCCUCAAUGAAGACUGAACACAACAAACUUUAUUAGAUGUGACUGCUUUCUUUUGUAUCCUUUCAAACUCUGCUGUACUGAUUCUUGGCACUUGAGAUCACAUCACGUUUGCUAUAAUGCCUUCCUCUUUCUUUGGAAUUAGUACCAAAAUGAAAUGAAAAAUGUGUGGCUUCUGAUUGUUUUGAGUUGCCUUAAAGCCAACACCAACAGCAAAACUUCGCUGUUCAGAGAUUUGUUUGAGUUCGAAAAUGUAUUUUGAAUCGUUCAAAACCCUUAUAAGGGAAAUAACCCAUUGGCAGAACGAUCAAACUUGUCAAAUGGAACACUUAAGGCGACUUUGCAAUAACUUGAGAGGGCGGUGGACAAUAAAAUGGAGGGGGGGGGGAGGAAGCAGCCUUCUACGCCAGCGGGAUCUCAACGCUCUCCAGCAGCAGGACAGGGGUUUCCAUACUUCCAACUCGCGGCAUCACAGAGAAAGUUGGCACCGCGCGUCUCGCUAAGGAUGAUCGCCCCAGAUUGACUGUUCAUGUACAUCAACAACGGGCUCGAGUUUCCUGCACGCUUCACACGGCAAAUGGUGGGUGGUGGUGGUGGUGGUUGCUGACGGCGAUGCUAUUUCAAAGCGAGCACGGGACGCUGAUGUGAUUGGGAAGCAAUGACUUUGUUUGGAGCGAGGUGGGCCCCAAAACUCGCCUCCCGCGCCCGCCGUAUCUGCUCGGGCUUCCUUUCUCUUUGUACCGCUCGCGCCGAGCCCCUGGUAGGCGUGCUCUCGUGAAGGCGCCGCAUCGCUCCUGCAGCCGCCAAAGGAGGCAAACCAACCCCCACCAUGAGACCCUACCAGGCGUGCAACCCGCCCAGGCAGGCUACGAGGGGCGAUCGGGAGGGAAGGGGGUGGGCUGUACAUCCAGGCUCCUCCUUGUCCCUGAAAAUCUAACAAAAACAGGCCCGCGAGAAUCAAUGAGCAAACACAACAGGAAGGGGGACGGGGGGGGGGGGUGGAUGCCAAAAAAACUACACAUACACACACGCACCCCUCUUUCUUCGUUUCCUAAAAGCCAAGCAAAGUCCUCCGGACACCCUCCCUUUUGCACUCCAGGACGAUCAUGGAUGCCACCGGUUCUCACCCAGAAGCGGGCUCCCUCGAGAGUAACCUUCCAGGCUCCAGUCGUUUCUUCUCAGUAAGCCCGACCUUCUCCCACCCCAUGGUCCUCCAGGGCGAUGGCUAACUCCACGUUGGGGGGGGACGGACGGACGGACGGACGAAUCUUUCAUGAAGCUGCAGGUCACUUUUGACGUGAGUUCCAGACCGUACAUACAAACCCAGCCACAUCCAAGAGACUGUCCUCUCUUCGUAACUCUUUACUCAGGAGUAAGCAGGUUCCCGUGGGUUCAGCCACCAAGUACGCGCCUGCCAGCCGGAUGCUGCGCAGCCUUUGAAAUGCCCCUAGCUCUUAAAAUCAAUAGUUUUAGUCAUGCCUACUUCUGAUCGUAGACGGGCACACCUACUCGGGAAGAUGUGCAACGGCCUUCAGGGAGAUUGAGCAAGGAUGCGUAUGGCUGCAAAGAUCGGGUUGCAGACGUUUGUUUCCUGCACUCUUUCUGCUUAAUGGGCGGUAAUUCCCGAAACAGCCCUUUCUCGAGUCACACCGAAGUUAUCCGACGGGACUACUUCAAAGUAAGGGAUUUAAAAGCUCCCUGGCCAUCAGAAGACCCUGCGAUUUCCCUCCCUGAGGUGGGUACAAAUCCCUUUUUUCUCCCACGCUCCAAACGUCGACCAUGGGAACAUCACAGGCCGAUAAAGGGCCGAGUGGUUCAAAGCGGUUGUUCAAUCUUCAGGGUUAGACAGGACUAAAGCAAAGUGGGAAACGGAGGUGAAACUUCAGUUUGUUUUGCUUUUUUUACUGAGAGCUGGAACCGGCUCCUCGAGCGCAUUUCGCACCUGCUUCACCUCCUGAACUACUUUUUUUAAAAAAAGGGGAUGGGGCUAAACAGAAGUGGGGGGGGUGGAGGAAGGCCGUUUUCCUGCAACGACACGCUGCUUGCUGUUAGGCAGAGUUCAAAUCUGCCCUCGCCUCCCUCCACAGCAGAAUCCCUAUUGCAGAUUCUGUAGUGCGUAUAGGAUGAAUCGGAGCUCGCCUGCCGCGGGAGGAGCGAGCGUAGUAAGGCAUCGGAGGAACUGUAGUAAGAGGAGGCGGGGUGGGCGGGGCUUGGCCAGGCGUGGGCGGGGAGGGCGCUGAUUGGGCGGCGUGGCGCUCGGAAGCACUUUGUUUUCUAUGCUAAUGAGGGCGGAGUGGAAGCUUGUGGAUAUUUACGUUGAGGCGGGAGCCACCGCCCUUCAUUUUUUUUUAAUCCACAUGGUUUUCUUUUCCCUUCCUCCCCCCCCUCCCCGCCUCCUAUUCGCGCUCGCCCGAUGCCGCCGCCAUCGUCAGGGCCGCCACCGCGGUCUCCUCCCCCUACUUCCCGCCACUUCCCUGCGCUCUCAGGCAGAGGGGGGGAGGGGGUGGGGCGGGCGUUGAGAACGGCGGUUGGUUGGUCGGUCGGUCGGUCGCGGUACUAAACAAGCAAGCACUAGGGGAAAAAACUUCAAAGGUCGAUGCUACAGAAUUUGCCCUGAAGAAUAAAGAUUUGUUGUAUGAAAGGAUGGCAAAACACUUUUGAAUGAGAAGAAUCUGUUCAUGUUAGAGUAAUGUCAAAGUGCUUACAGUGCAGGAAAAAGAGCAAGGGAUGCCGCAAGGCGGAGUUCGAAGGAGAUGCUUUGAAACGCAAUGGAAUCAAGUCUCGGAGGCGGGACUGGUAGUGUGUAAGAUCUGCCCCUGCUCUCGCAGCAGGGCCCUCUUUCCUGGAACUGGAGAAAACGAAGAGCCAAGCUGUCGCCAGUCGGGAGUUAAGAUCAAGCUCUAGCUCGGUCCUCACAGCUUUUUAGGGUUGCAAGGAUUCUAGCUGUGUGGUUGUUUCGCCCCGGCGAGACGAAAGAGUUGGGGGAAGGGGGAGGCGGUGUGGAAACGGAGAGCAUGCCUUCUGUCGGAAUCGCAAAGAAAAAGCUGCGCAGGAUGGAAACCGUCUCUUGGGAAUUCCCAACGUUAUCUGGAAGCGAGGGUGAAAACAUGUACAAGGAUGCGGACGUUAAGAUAUCCAGCUGGAGGAAUACAUCGGAAAUGCAAAAGAGGUUGCUACGAGGAUGAACUGGUAGGAUGUAACUUCACACAGUUUAGCAUUUGCUGAGGUGUUCAAUUCCAGAAAUAAAUUUAAAGAGUGAAAUAUCUUAUUACGUCCUGAGCUCCAACAGAAAAAAUCAAGGUAUUUGCUGUACAGUACUACCUUUGGGUUGAAUCCAGCAAGACCCUUAUUUAUCUCAUCCCCCUCGUCUUUCACCCCGCUUGGUCUCCUUUUCUGCAAUCAGUAUCCGAGGAAAAAGUUGGAGGCAGCAAAGGGGAAUGAUCCCCUGAAGAUGAUAAUCUCCAUUUUGCUUUGCCACUGCGCUGAUUCUCAGUCCGAGCUAAUCGAGGGCAGGAAGGGGCAGCUACCGGCACGGACAGCGCGAAACGCUGAGAAAGGCGGCGGCUGGCAAGAGGAGCGCGAUGUUUAUUUGCUUGCCUCUUCCCGCUACGCCUCGUGUGGGCACCGAUUUCCUCCUUUCAGCAAGAGCGCAUCCUGUGAUUGGAGCGGAGCAGCUGUUUCCCCGACGGGGCUGGCUGGCUGGCUUCCUUCCUCCUGUCCUCUUGCCUGGUUUCCUUUCCACCGGCUGCUCUGGUCCCGCCGUGGUCGGUUCCGGAGAAGAGACGGAAGGCUUAUCUGUAUCCUUUAAAGGCUGUGUGCAGCAGAAUCGAGAGAGACAAUAUGUACAUGGAGAGAAAGAGAGUAGCUGAAGAUGGGAAGUUAGCACGGCUUUUUCUGACUAGAACUGAAUGGCAAGGGCGGCGCUUCACCCCAACUUGGGCGGGGUCUUUCCUGUUCAAGGAGCUGCCUGUGGGGGGUCAUCUGCUGAAUUUCUGCUCAUCAGGCUGUGUAUAGUACAAAGGAGAAACCUUCAAGAAAAACAUUGACAACAUUUUCGGAAGAGGUUAGCCUCGGUAGUCUAUUUCAGCAUACACAACAGAAACAAAACAGACAUUGAUACAAAAGUUCUGUGGCACCUGAAAGGCUUAGACCAAAUACUGCCAAGUAUCUCACACAUAAGGGUGGUCAUGGAAAUGCUUCUUGCAUUUUUCUGGGUGUCCACCACAUGCACAGGGAGGUGACUGAUUUUACAACCUGGCGGUGUCUAAGGGUAGAAUAGAUGGAUGGCAGCUGAUUUAUGCUCCAUGUUUCUAUCCUGACCAAUUUAUUUCAGUUUGAACUCUUAGCGCAUGCCGUCCAUUUGUGUCUGAGGAAGCGGAUGGUAAUCUGCAAAAGCUGGCUUUCACAACCGAAAUCCAUUUAGUGGUUAUAACUGUAUUAGUCCAAAUAAUUAGGUACAGUAUUUGAAGAACUGUCUCAUAUACAAUCCUGUUAGUUCAACACACUCAAAAUUAGGGGCCUUAUUGCGUGUCCCACAAAAAUCCAGGUGGAUGCAGUGUGAGAGAGUAGCACUCAGAUUGUGGAAGUCUCUAACCUGAAGAGAAUCAGCCCUCUCACAUGCUCGCUCCCUUCUAAAGCUACUAGUGAACUGCUGCAUUUUAUAACAUUGUACUUCUUCCUUUUAAUUAAAGGAUUAAAGUUCUACCUGAUUUUAUUUUUGUUGAAUAGUUUUUGCCCUGCUCUCGGCUAUAUUGUACAAUAUUUUAGUAAUAUAGACUAUUUUGACUGUGUUUUAUUAAUUUUUUAAACAUUUUCAAUAAGCUGCCUUGAGUUUAUUAGAGAAAGAAGAAUGUCUUAUAUAUGUUAAAAAUAAAUAAACAAAAUGACUAUUCCAUCCUGCCCUGCAGCUGCUUUCUCAUGCAUUCAAGAUCCUUCAUUUGCAACUAUGCUACAUCUCUGUAUUGGUGCAUGCAUAGCCCCACCACUGGAAAGCAAAUUAUCCACCUCAUGCAUGCUUUGGCUGCAGAUUGGAUUGAAUAUGUGAAGAAAACAAUCCCAUGUGUACCUGCUCAGAAGUGAGUCCCAUAGAGUUCGUUGAGUUUAGGGCCACCACCAUAGUCUUAAUGAUAAAAUAUCAAUAUGGGAGAUGUAGUCCUUUUCUUAAAAGGAAGAAUUAGCAUUUCAUAACUAAUGAAUGGCAAAUACAGAUUUUCAGUUGGGAGCUGCAUGUACAGCUUAGACCAGCAGAUCAUCUUGCCAUGCAUCAAGGGAUAUAUUAGGAUUUGCAUUAGAAAGCUUCUGUAAGCUUCUUUUCUACUAUGUAAUUUUAUGUGAAUUGAGCUUGCUAAUGGCAAGCAAGAAAUUAUAUAUAUGCGCUCCAUUAUGGAUAUCCUGCAUACUUUAUUGUAAAGUCUAAUUUUACAGAGGUUCUUGUGCUUACUCUAAUACACAAAAUCUAGUAAAGAUGCAUGAAACAGAAGAAAUUUGUGAUCCUGUUGGGUAGAUUUUUUAAAAGACUGAUUAUUACCCAAAUUUUUUUCUGCAGUUAUGAGACAAAUAUAUGAUAUGUGCUUUUUACAGAAUUCUUUUUUCAUAAUUUUGAGAUGAGUAUGUGAUAUAUACGGUACAUUUUACAGAAUUCUUUUCUAUCUGCUGUAUGUCUGUAUUUUCUAGGGAAUGCUUAAUAUGCUUCUCCCAUUAUAAGAAUCUUUCACUAUGAUGAUAAAGG